AACGAACGCUGGCGGCAUGCCUAACACAUGCAAGUCGAACGAGACCUUCGGGUCUAGUGGCGCACGGGUGCGUAACGCGUGGGAACCUGCCCUUAGGUUCGGAAUAACUCCCCGAAAGGGGUGCUAAUACCGGAUAAUGUCUUCGGACCAAAGAUUUAUCGCCUUUGGAUGGGCCCGCGUUGGAUUAGCUAGUUGGUAGGGUAAAAGCCUACCAAGGCGACGAUCCAUAGCUGGUCUGAGAGGAUGAUCAGCCACACUGGGACUGAGACACGGCCCAGACUCCUACGGGAGGCAGCAGUGGGGAAUAUUGGACAAUGGGCGAAAGGCUGAUCCAGCAAUGCCGCGUGAGUGAUGAAGGACUUAGGGUUGUAAAGCUCUUUUACACGGGAUGAUAAUGACAGUACCGGGAGAAUAAGCGCCGGCUAACUCCGUG
This 433-nucleotide ribosomal RNA is filed under the name uncultured bacterium. Its description in RNAcentral is "partial 16S ribosomal RNA". It matches the Rfam family "Bacterial small subunit ribosomal RNA", at positions 29 to 507 of the family's 1533-position model. The record is from RNAcentral.